AAUCAACGCUGGCGGCGUGCCUCAGACAUGCAAGUCGAACGCGAAAGUCCCCUUCGGGGGACAAGUAGAGUGGCGCACGGGUGAGUAACACGUGGGUAAUUUACCUUCGGGUGGGGAAUAACAGUCGGAAACGACUGCUAAUACCGCAUGAUGCAGCGGCACCACAUGGUGACAGUUGUUAAAGCGGGGGAUCGCAAGACCUCGCGCCUGAAGAGAAGCCCGCGGCAGAUUAGCUAGUUGGUAAGGUAAUGGCUUACCAAGGCAACGAUCUGUAGCCGGCCUGAGAGGGCGGUCGGCCACACUGACACUGAAUAACGGGUCAGACUCCUACGGGAGGCAGCAGUCGGGAAUUUUGGGCAAUGGGCGAAAGCCUGACCCAGCAACGCCGCGUGAAGGAUGAAAUUUUCGGAAUGUAAACUUCGCAAGAACAGGAAGAAUAAGUAGAAGCGAAUACCUUCUAUGAUGACGGUACUGUUUGUAAGCUCCGGCUAACUCCGUGCCAGCCGCC
RNAcentral lists this ribosomal RNA (508 nucleotides) under uncultured bacterium. RNAcentral's name for it is "bacterial SSU rRNA". It matches the Rfam family "Bacterial small subunit ribosomal RNA", at positions 32 to 516 of the family's 1533-position model. The record is from RNAcentral.